RNAcentral lists this transfer RNA (65 nucleotides) under Thermophis baileyi. RNAcentral describes it as "tRNA-Ile". The record is from RNAcentral. RNAcentral also lists the same sequence under 1 other name. Lineage: Eukaryota; Metazoa; Chordata; Lepidosauria; Squamata; Dipsadidae.
GGAAGCGUGCCCGAGUAAGGACUACCUUGAUAGAGUAGACACGGAGCCAAACACUCCCGCCUCCC